This 468-nucleotide ribosomal RNA is filed under the name uncultured bacterium. RNAcentral describes it as "partial 16S ribosomal RNA". It matches the Rfam family "Bacterial small subunit ribosomal RNA", at positions 28 to 507 of the family's 1533-position model. The record is from RNAcentral.
GACGAACGCUGGCGGCGUGCUUAACACAUGCAAGUCGAACGGAAAGGCCCUGCUUUUGUGGGGUGCUCGAGUGGCGAACGGGUGAGUAACACGUGAGUAACCUGCCCUUGACUUUGGGAUAACUUCAGGAAACUGGGGCUAAUACCGGAUAGGAGCUCCUGCUGCAUGGUGGGGGUUGGAAAGUUUCGGCGGUUGGGGAUGGACUCGCGGCUUAUCAGCUUGUUGGUGGGGUAGUGGCUUACCAAGGCUUUGACGGGUAGCCGGCCUGAGAGGGUGACCGGCCACAUUGGGACUGAGAUACGGCACAGACUCCUACGGGAGGGAGCAGUGGGGAAUAUUGCACAAUGGGCGGAAGCAUGAUGCAGCAACGCCGCGUGCGGGAUGACGGCAUUCGGGUUGUAAACCGAUUUCGCCUGUGACGAAGCGUGAGUGACGGUAAUGGGUAAAGAAGCACCGGCUAACUACGUG